GGACGAACGCUGGCGGCGUGCUUAACACAUGCAAGUCGAACGCUGAAGCUCAGCUUUUGUUGGGUGGAUGAGUGGCGAACGGGUGAGUAACACGUGAGUAACCUGCCUCCUUCUUUGGGAUAACGCCCGGAAACGGGUGCUAAUACUGGAUAUUCACUGGUCUUCGCAUGGGGGUUGGUGGAAAGGGUUUUUCUGGUGGGGGAUGGGCUCGCGGCCUAUCAGCUUGUUGGUGGGGUGAUGGCCUACCAAGGCUUUGACGGGUAGCCGGCCUGAGAGGGUGACCGGUCACAUUGGGACUGAGAUACGGCCCAGACUCCUACGGGAGGCAGCAGUGGGGAAUAUUGCACAAUGGGCGCAAGCCUGAUGCAGCGACGCCGCGUGAGGGAUGGAGGCCUUCGGGUUGUGAACCUCUUUCGCUCAUGGUCAAGCCGCAACAAUGGUUGUGGUGAGGGUAGUGGGUAAAGAAGCGCCGGCUAACUACGUG
This 484-nucleotide ribosomal RNA is filed under the name uncultured bacterium. Its description in RNAcentral is "partial 16S ribosomal RNA". It matches the Rfam family "Bacterial small subunit ribosomal RNA", at positions 27 to 507 of the family's 1533-position model. The record is from RNAcentral.